This 77-nucleotide transfer RNA is filed under the name Clostridiales bacterium. RNAcentral's name for it is "tRNA-Pro". It matches the Rfam family "tRNA". From Rfam's summary of the family: Transfer RNA (tRNA) molecules are approximately 80 nucleotides in length. Their secondary structure includes four short double-helical elements and three loops (D, anti-codon, and T loops). Lineage: Bacteria; Bacillati; Bacillota; Clostridia; Eubacteriales. The record is from RNAcentral. RNAcentral also lists the same sequence under 1 other name.
CGGGGUGUAGCGCAGCUUGGUAGCGCGCUUCGUUCGGGACGAAGAAGUCGCAGGUUCGAAUCCUGUCACCCCGACCA